This 98-nucleotide small nuclear RNA is filed under the name Carlito syrichta (Philippine tarsier). Lineage: Eukaryota; Metazoa; Chordata; Mammalia; Primates; Tarsiidae. The record is from RNAcentral.
UAGUGAGUACACUAGUACAUUGAAACUGGAGUGCUAGAAGAUUCGCAUGUCUCUUGUACAAGGAUGAGAUGCAAAAUUGUGAAGUGUUCAUAUCUUUG